GUGGGGAAUUUUGGACAAUGGGCGCAAGCCUGAUCCAGCAAUUCCGCGUGCAGGAAGAAGGCCUUCGGGUUGUAAACUGCUUUUGUACGGAACGAAACGGCUCUGGUUAAUACCCGGGGCUAAUGACGGUACCGUAAGAAUAAGCACCGGCUAACUACGUGCCAGCAGCCGCGGUAAUACGUAGGGUGCAAGCGUUAAUCGGAAUUACUGGGCGUAAAGCGUGCGCAGGCGGUUUUGUAAGACAGGCGUGAAAUCCCCGGGCUCAACCUGGGAAUGGCGCUUGUGACUGCAAAGCUGGAGUGCGGCAGAGGGGGAUGGAAUUCCGCGUGUAGCAGUGAAAUGCGUAGAUAUGCGGAGGAACACCGAUGGCGAAGGCAAUCCCCUGGGCCUGCACUGACGCUCAUGCACGAAAGCGUGGGGAGCAAACAGGAUUAGAAACCCCAGUAGUCC
Molecule: ribosomal RNA, 450 nt
Filed under: uncultured bacterium
Lineage: Bacteria
Description: partial 16S ribosomal RNA
Rfam family: Bacterial small subunit ribosomal RNA
Source: RNAcentral